AUGGUGAUUUCUCCAGUAAAGCAUGUGUGCUCUGUUGCUAUCCGUGCCAAGGGGAUGUUCUCUGGAGGUCCAGGAGCUGACCACCUUCUCAUUUCUCACCCCAGCUCUCACAGUCCAUCCACCAGAUUGCAGAGGAGUGCUUUCAUGGAGGGAGGACCUCCACUGAUGGAAUUUCACAUCCUUAAAGGUAAGAUUUGGGAGCUGAGGCCUCUGGAGAGAUAACUCUUCCAAAGAGGGACAGCCCUUAUUUGCUCUGUGUUUCCAGGAAAAAAAGGAACAUGUUGAUGUUACUGCAGAGGGAUGAGUCAGCUGGCAUCAUAUUAUCCCAUUCCACUUUGGCAGGACUCUGCUUGCUAGUUCCUGGGACUGCAGACAUCUAGGUGGGAAGGGGAGGAGAGCUGGCCAGCUGCCUAUAAGUAACUCCUUCCCACUGAAAGGGGACAGUUUUUUUCAGAAAAUGUUUUUCCAUGGCCCUGCAGUCUAGUCCGGUUCCCUGUGGCUCAAUACACCUAGAGAUCUGGGUCUGGAGUCAGAAAUACCCGAGUUCAAAUCCAGUCUCUGGAUGACCCUGGGCAAGAGACACUCUGUGCCUCAGUUUCUUAAUCUGUAAAAUGAGGUGAUAACGACAGUGGCUACCUACCAGGAUUGUUGUCAGGAUCAAACAAGAUAUUUAUAAAGCACUUCACUUCCGUGUUAUAAGGCAUCAAAGGAGGACUUCUGAGGAUGAAAUUAAUUAAGCACAUAGUAGGUGCUUAAUACAGUCUUGCUCCCAUCUUUCCUUGUGACUAUGGAUCCUUGGGUCUCAUUUAAGCUCAGAGAACAUUUUCAGAAUUCUUCUGGUGGCCGAGCAUGCAGUAAGAUCACUUUAAAUGAUUCUUAAAAUGUUCUGUUUUUGAUGGGAUCAAGUAACACGAAAGAGUAUUUCUAAAAGAAUACAAGGCUGGUGGCAAACCAGUCUGUGCGGUAAGGAAGGCAGCGAGGGGUUCACACUGAGAGUUGGAGUUCUUGCUUGGCUUUGAACUUCAGCUCAGGGCUUCAGAGCCGUGAGACCUUGGCCAAGUCAUCUUCAAGAUCUCUCCUGGUCUAAGACUAGGGGGCUGGCCUGGGGGAUUGCUGGGAUCUUCUGCAGUCUAGUCUAACAAGUAUUUGCACUCCUUCAGUGCUUACAGAAAGAAGUCCAAGACCCUCUCUGUCCUUGCCUGAUUGAUGUUUCCAGCUCAGA
This 1222-nucleotide long non-coding RNA is filed under the name Monodelphis domestica (gray short-tailed opossum). RNAcentral describes it as "lncRNA (ENSMODG00000049534.1)". Lineage: Eukaryota; Metazoa; Chordata; Mammalia; Didelphimorphia; Didelphidae. The record is from RNAcentral.